CUGAGCGCCCACGAUAUUAACGCUUCUUGAUCCUUUGGCUGUUUGGCAGCGCGAGCUUGCACAUGCAAUCAUGUUUGCCGUGGCCAAAAUUCCAAACGUGUGCUGUUGUUGGCAACUAUAUAUCUUAGUCUUGGACAUGUGAAGUUUCUGUUGGACUUCGUUUCUAAGUGCUGAAUCAUUCGUGAAUGAAUCUGUGCUUCGAUCGAUCAUUUCAACCGAUUAAACUCAUGAACUAAGGUCUGAGACAGGGUUGCCAAGUACGCUACGCAUGAACGCAAGACUAACAAUUUCGAGGGCUCGACAUUUUUCACCGAGAUUUGAUCGAUUACAAUGAAGUUUAUGUUCCGGUGAAAAAGGCGGCAACGGUCUCAAAGAAGAAGGUGACGCUUCAAUACCGGCUAGGUUCAAACAAAUUUUGCUUGAAUCUCAUUGAAAUUGAAACCAGAAUGGCCGGAUUAAAAACUGAAAUAGAUGAUUUCAGUGCAAAAACAAAUCCCUAACCAACAACUUGAAUAACUUCCAAAACCAAACCGGCAUGGCAAUGUGAUGUCUACUCUUGCGAGAUAAUCUGACAAAUGUUCAGAUACAUAUGCCUAAGUAUGUUUUCGAGUUUUAUACACCAAUUAAAAAAAAACUGACAUGGGUUGUUGAACCGAGGUUACUCAACCAUGUAUGUUGUUUCCACGGUGGCAGGACACAUCCUCAAAAACAUAACGAGGGGAUUAACUAG
Molecule: long non-coding RNA, 730 nt
Filed under: Hordeum vulgare
Lineage: Eukaryota; Viridiplantae; Streptophyta; Magnoliopsida; Poales; Poaceae
Description: long non-coding RNA (HVUL_LNC001893)
Source: RNAcentral